Long non-coding RNA from Musca domestica (house fly), 975 nucleotides. RefSeq lists it as uncharacterized. The record is from RefSeq and is a predicted model, not a curated record. The transcript has 3 exons. Lineage: Eukaryota; Metazoa; Arthropoda; Insecta; Diptera; Muscidae.
AAAUAAUAACAAGAAGAAAAAAAAUAAACCAAAACAAUUUAAAAUUUUAUAACGUCAUUUCUGUCUCGAAGGUAAACAUAUUCAAAACAAAACAAAAAUAAAGUGUUGUGCUGAUAAAUAUUAAAUAGCCAGCCAGCUAGCCAGACACAUAACGCUAUAAAGUUGUUAGUUUCUGAAACUAUAAUUCAGGAACGUGUUUUUAAGCUUUUCAGACACUUGCUUUAAAAUUAGAAGAAAAAAAAAACGAAACGAAAAAUAACAAACAGCGGUGGCAGCAGCAGCAACACAAUGGAAAUCAAUGUAGUAUUGCACAAAAAAAAAAAAACAAACUUGUCAAACAAAGAGACGGUGGUAAAGAGAGUGUGCGAGCGACAUUGUAGAGAGCCAAUUAACAGUGAUGCCAAUGUUACGCGCAUCUGAAAGGUAAAAUCUAUCUAAAAUUAAAUCUAACCAUAUCACGAGACAAAGUACAAAAUAAAAUAAAAUCUUGUCAUCAAGCAUUUCUUUGAAUUGGUGGGGAGAGAUCUAAUGAAUAAAAUUGAUGUGGAAGCCAAUUAAUGGAUUAUGGAAGGACCCAUGAAUCGAUCUCAAUUAAUCGUCUUUUUCCGUCAACUCUUGAAAAACAUCAUUUACAUACACGAGAAAUAAGUUUUAACCAUUUUUUUACAUCAAAAAAUGCAGUUCCUCUUAAAGUUAUAAUAGCAGCAAGUGGCUAUUGGAAGACAACAUUGAAGCAUUUAUUCAUGAGUUACUGGACGAAGUGUUGCAAAGAGUGCGCCAAAAUUGGACUAAACGGAUAAAUCAUUUGAGGUGCAGUCGCGAUCAAUAUUUGCAUGAAAUAAUUUUUAAAUUUUAAUUUAUGUGGACCGUACUACCAAUUCAAAUGAAGAUUUCUUGCAUUUUUAAGAAUUUAGUUUUUUUACUCAUUUAUCAAUUUAUUUAUUAUUUUUUGAAAAACUUUUCUAUAAUUCUUAA